RNAcentral lists this ribosomal RNA (491 nucleotides) under uncultured bacterium. Its description in RNAcentral is "bacterial SSU rRNA". It matches the Rfam family "Bacterial small subunit ribosomal RNA", at positions 29 to 503 of the family's 1533-position model. The record is from RNAcentral.
AACGAACGCUGGCGGCGUGGCUAAGACAUGCAAGUCGAACGGACCUUACAAUUGAGUAAUCGAGAGUUUGGUUAGUGGCGAAAGGGUUAGUAAUGGAUAGAUGACGUAUCCUGUGCUUUGGGAUAGCGUCAGUAGCUUCGGCUACUUUCCGAAAGGGGCGGUAAUACCAAAUAAUAUCAUAUGUCGUAGGGCAUAUGAUCAAAGAUUUAUCGGCGUAGGCGCGGUCUAUCUCCUAUCAGCUUAUUGGUGAGGUAAAAGCUCACCAAGGCUAUGACGGGUAGCGGGACUGAGAGGUUGGCCCGCAACAUCGGGACUGAGACACUGCCCGGACCUCCACGGAGGGCUGCAGUAACGAAUAUUGUGCAAUGGGCGAAAGCCUGACACAGCGACGCCGCGUGUAGGAGGAAGUCUUUCGGGAUGUAAACUACUGUCAGGGGUAAGAAAGUGCGCUUCGGCGUAUUGAUCGAACCCAGAGGAAGUCACGCUAACUU